AUGGCGAGCCCCAAGCUCAGAAAGCUGCGCCGCCCGCCUAUGGAACGGCUCCAACGGGAUCCAGACAUCCCCGCACUGGAGCCGUCAUCCCAGCAUCGUCGCCGGCCCCACGGCUCCACCGCGUCGCCCCCUUCCCAUGGCCGCCUGAGCUUCUUCCCUGCUUCUUCUCUAGGAAGGCUCGAGCUCCCGCAACCACAGCACAAGGGAGGAACCCCAACACCCGCGCCUUCGGCCGCCUUGCGUCAGACGCCCCUGCCUCUUCGUCCCUGA
This 270-nucleotide ribosomal RNA is filed under the name Triticum aestivum (bread wheat). Its description in RNAcentral is "partial small subunit ribosomal RNA". Lineage: Eukaryota; Viridiplantae; Streptophyta; Magnoliopsida; Poales; Poaceae. The record is from RNAcentral.